Molecule: ribosomal RNA, 475 nt
Filed under: uncultured bacterium
Lineage: Bacteria
Description: bacterial SSU rRNA
Rfam family: Bacterial small subunit ribosomal RNA
Source: RNAcentral
GAUGAACGCUAGCGGCAGGCCUAAUACAUGCAAGUCGAGCGGCAAGUCGAGGAGUAAUCUAAGACCUAGAGCGGCGCACGGGUGCGUAACGCGUAUGCAACCUACCUCAUACAGGGGGAUAGCCCUAGGAAACUGGGAUUAACACCGCAUAAUAUAUGACAAGGCAUCUUGUUAUAUUGAAAUAUUUAUAGGAUGUAGAUGGGCAUGCGUAGGAUUAGCUAGUUGGUAAGGUAACGGCUUACCAAGGCUACGAUCCUUAGGGGCUCUGAGAGGAGUAUCCCCCANACUGGCACUGAGAUACGGGCCAGACUCCUACGGGAGCAGCAGUAGGGAAUAUUGGGCAAUGGAGGCAACUCUGACCCAGCCAUGCCGCGUGCAGGAAGACGGUCCUCUGGAUUGUAAACUGCUUUUGAAUGGGAGAAUGUGUGGCUUGCGAGCUAUAAUGACGGUACCAUUAGAAUAAGCCACGGCUAAC